This 354-nucleotide ribosomal RNA is filed under the name Triticum aestivum (bread wheat). RNAcentral's name for it is "partial small subunit ribosomal RNA". Lineage: Eukaryota; Viridiplantae; Streptophyta; Magnoliopsida; Poales; Poaceae. The record is from RNAcentral.
AUGUUGUCUGCGGAAUCGUCUGCGCAGGGAAGGAAAGAGUUCGAGGCGGAGAUGAAGAUCAUAAGCCGAUUGAGGCACCGGAACCUUACGCACUUGCUAGGCUGGUCCGACAGCCACGAAGGGUUCUUGCUCGUCUAUGAGCUCGUAACGGAAGGCAGCCUGGACCGGCACAUAUACAACAUGAGUUGCCUGCUUACUUGGGCAGAGAGAUACAAGAUCAUCCUUGGACUGGGAUCUGCACGGCGCUAUCUCCACACAGAGUGGGAUGAGUGUGUGCUUCAUGGCGACAUCAAGCCCAGCAACAUACUCCUCGACUCAUCACGCAACACCAAGUUGGCGGAUUUCGGGCUGGCG